GACGAACGCUGGCGGCGUGCUUAACACAUGCAAGUCGAACGGAAAGGCCCUGCUUGCAGGGUACUCGAGUGGCGAACGGGUGAGUAACACGUGGGUGAUCUGCCCUGCACUUCGGGAUAAGCCUGGGAAACUGGGUCUAAUACCGGAUAGGAGCCAUUUUUAGUGUGAUGGUUGGAAAGUUUUUUCGGUGUAGGAUGAGCUCGCGGCCUAUCAGCUUGUUGGUGGGGUAAUGGCCUACCAAGGCGGCGACGGGUAGCCGGCCUGAGAGGGUGGACGGCCACAUUGGGACUGAGAUACGGCCCAGACGCCUACGGGAGGCAGCAGUGGGGAAUAUUGCACAAUGGGCGCAAGCCUGAUGCAGCGACGCCGCGUGGGGGAUAACGGCCUUCGGGUUGUAAACUCCUUUCGCUAGGGACGAAGCUUUUUGUGACGGUACCUAGAUAAGAAGCACCGGCUAACUACGUG
Molecule: ribosomal RNA, 465 nt
Filed under: uncultured bacterium
Lineage: Bacteria
Description: partial 16S ribosomal RNA
Rfam family: Bacterial small subunit ribosomal RNA
Source: RNAcentral